UAGAGAAUAGUAAAAUGGAAUUACAGGGAGUUUUGAUCUCUCAGUUAUAGGUUCAAUUCCUAUUUUUUUAA
RNAcentral lists this transfer RNA (71 nucleotides) under Mannophryne collaris (collared poison frog). RNAcentral describes it as "tRNA-Gln". It matches the Rfam family "tRNA". From Rfam's summary of the family: Transfer RNA (tRNA) molecules are approximately 80 nucleotides in length. Lineage: Eukaryota; Metazoa; Chordata; Amphibia; Anura; Aromobatidae. The record is from RNAcentral.